GGAGGUGAGAACUGAAUGCUCCCUAAGGGCCUCUCUAACUCAAAACUUUCUUGGAUUCUGUGAUAGUAAGAAAGAAACGUUUGGCUUUUCAUAGAUGCCUCUUUCCACUGAUUGAGACCAAAGGAAAAAAAAAAAAAAAGUGCAUUUUUAUUUUGAUUUAAGAAAACUUGUGACUGUAAUAACCUAAUAACAAAUUUGAAUUGAAAAAAGCAACCAACUUUUUAACUGGGUCUUGCAUAAUCUCAGGCUAAUUUCUGGUCAGCCCCCAGCAGGAAAGCUGUUUUAGUGAUGUAGAAGCCACAUCACAAAAUUAAUUUUCCCUCUCACAGAAGAGAGGCUGCUGCCACUUCUGUCCCUGAGGUGACACCUGGAUGAAGCAGGCAGAGUCAGCAAUGCAGGCUGCUGGGCUGGCAAAGCAGAAGGGGCAGUGAGGCAGCCCCUGGUGCAAGGAUGCUGCCCUGGGCUGUGGGAUGCUUGUGGCUGUCCUUUCUUUUUACUGUUUUGUGCCAGGCCAGACAAUGGUUGGAGAAUUAACAAGGGGCUGCCUCACAAAUAGAGCAGCCUGUUGUAUUGUCUAUUAUGGGAUUUAAUGCCCUAACAGGACAUGGAUCAAUAUCAUAGCAGGAGAGGUAAGGAAUACAAGAAUAGUCACAGAAGGUGAAAAGAGAGAAGAGGCUAGAAGAGUAAUAAAGAAAGGUUCCUCCUUUCCUUCAGAAAUGAUAUUAUUCUUAUUUAUUUUUUUGUCUUUUUGAUUUGAUCUGUGUGCCUGUAUGUAUUUGGGAUUUGCUGGAGGCUUUUGACAAUGUCUUUUUUUGUUUGUUUUGGUUUGUUUUUUUUAAAUUUUUGUAAUCAUGUGUCUGCUUUACUGCUCUUAAACCUGCCAGAACUUGAUGUCAGAGCAUUGCUGCCCAAAGAGCUUGUACUGGCCUCUAUUUCCAAUCCUGUACAAUCUCAGUUUAAUCACUGUGGCAGUCAGCUCAGAAGUGCCUGUAGGUGGAAAACAUCACUGUAACAUGAUGCAGUUGAUUUUACUUCAGCAUGGCUUUGAGACAAGCCACACUGGUCCAUGGAAUGUGUGUAGUAACUCCUCUUUCUCUGCAUCAAUUCACACACAUUUGGAGAUAUAAAAUUGGCCUUUCUGAAAACAGUUUCAGAAAAUGUACAAUAAGCCACUAUUUUCCGAAGAUAAGAGGAAAUAUUAAACAGAUUGCAAACAAGGCAGCCUGACAGAGAAACUUAAGAUGGCUAUCCCAUUAAGCAAACACAUCAUUCCUUGCUCCCUUCUGUGCCCUUUCACCAAUCUUAUAACUUCCAUCAAUGUUCAAUCACUCUAAUCAUCUCUUUCCAGCCUCUGCAACCUGCAAAGAGUUUAAAAAGCCCUGCACUGGCUUUGUGGUUUCAUUUCACUUCUCUUUGCUCCCAGCAACACAAAUAAGUGAUUUCACAACCACUGGGAAGGGAGAGCAGAGGGAAAAAAGAUUUAACCUACCUCAUCUAAUCAGAAGCUCCUAACAGAUGGAGGGAAACUGCUCCCUGGGCCCGACAAGGAACUGAGCCAGGGCUCUUCCCUCAUCACCAACUGCUGCCAGCUAAACAUCUGAAUUUCCUCUCUUCUGGAAGCUUAUAAAAGCUCUAAUCCAAGAAAUGGCACCUCAUUCUCUCCUCUUCCCUCCCCCAUGCCAUCUCCUUCUCCUGCAGCACAUGGCGUUACACCCUUCCAGACAGAUGAGUUUCAACAUUGUGACAUUGUCUCAGUCACCAUUUUCCACCCACUGUCAAAUCCACUGAAAAAAACAGCCAAAAAAUCAAAACAAAACAAACUCCACAGGAAAAAAAAAAAAAAAAGAAAAGCAGCAAAAACUGUUAACACUUCCUGUUUCUACAUGUCCUCCCAAGGUUUCUUUUGUCCAAAAGGUUCAGAGCACCACUGAGGGCUAUUUCUUCAUGAAAUAUCAUGAAGAAUCACAUUUUACAUCAGGAGGUCUUUACAUUCAAGUGUCUCUCUGGCAAAAGGUAGCAUCUAUUAGCCAGCCUCUUGCAUUUUUGUGGGCUUGCCUCUCCUUUUUGGAGCACGAAUUUCAUCCUGCACCUGACUGACCUCCAAAGCGAAGGUGCUACUUUGGUCCCUGUCAGAGCACCAACUUUAGUUGCCAAAAUGAAAUUACCCAUUACACCAAUUACUCAUUUCCAGCUAUGUGCUGUGUCUGGGCUGAGGGGAAGGUGUACAUGUAAGCAUAUUUCAAAUCCAGCUCCUGCCUGGUCAUCCAGAUGGGAAACCCAGCCAGUACUCCUUGGCUCCUUUCCUACAAAGCAUCACUGUGAGUAGAGGAUGGGGCUGUUGGAUCACCCAAAUGAGGAGCUUGGAGUAGUCAGCCCCAAAGGCUGGGAAGGCUGCAGUGCUCCCCAGGUGGGACACAGCUUUACAAGCAUGGUAAGGAAAGGUUUGUAGACAAUGGAAGAAAAUAUCAUCAGUAUUCAGUCCCAGGGAGGCCAGUGAGUUGUUAGCUUGUGCACCUUAAACAUAAAAAUCAACUUUACCUUCUGACCAAGCAGGAUCUCUUGGCCUUUAUUGCAAAAGAUCUGACCAGUGCAAUCCACCUGCUGAAGUUAAGCAGAAUGACCCUUGAUAAAAAUUCAGGUACAAUUCGCUUCAUUAGAUGGAUGGUCAGUAUUUUGUGUUUCAUCUUCAUUAAAGGAAGGAGAACCCCUUUGAAUACAAGUUAAAGGAAGAACCCCUUGAAUAACAGGUAAAUGGUCAGCUAAGCCCUAAGGACUUUCUGAGGAGGGGACCAGAAACAAUGGGUGUGAAAGCAUGGAAGUUCACCAGGUUUUAGUUUUGCAAUUAUUUGAGUAGCUGACACAAUGCUCACUCCUCCCAUGUUUAAUUUUGAGACUCAAUCACAAAAUUCUUCUAAGUUUCACAUAUGUUUUUUCCAGAGACCUAAUGUGCAUACACUAUACACAUAUGCAUCUGCACCUCUCAGCAAAAAGGAAUCUAAGAGUAGGAAACAAACAAGUAAAUUCUCCUAAAGUUUUAGAAGAAGGCACAAGAACAAUACUAUAAUUUCUCUCUUAAUAUCCACUAUGAUAUAAACUAUAUAAAUUCUAUGGCUUUUAUUCCAACCUUCACUGACAAAUAAUUCCUUUAUUUCUGGGUAUGGCUGGUGUAUUUAUCAUAUACAUUAAAGUGAAUAAGACACAGUUUUCGUUUCAUAAGAAUUUUGAUAUGUCCAGUAGUACAAAUAUCUAGGUUGGUGUGACAAGUGCACUUUGUCACCUUCUGAGGAAAAACAGGUGCACUUUUUGUAGCUGAUUUAUUUUUCCUGCAGAAUAUACCUUGGCAAGAAAUCUGUUUUGUGAGUGUAAUGAGAUAUGACUUUCAAAAGUAGUAAAUGGACACAAAUUGAAAUAUAAAAUAUUCUUUUUAAACAAAAGAAAAGGAAAAUCACUUCUGGGUUUUUUUUCCCUCUGUGAGAGUGCUUGAACACUGUCACAGGCUGCCCAGAGAGGCUGUUCAGUCUCUGUCAUUGGAAAUAUUCAAACCCCAGCUGGGCAUGACCCCAAGCAAUGCGUCUGUAGGUGACUCUGCUUUGAGCACAGGGUUGGACUUGACAAUUUCCAGCGAUGCCUUCCAGCCUCAGCUACUCUGUGAAUCUAAAUAGUUGUGUUUUCUGUACAGCCACAAAGGGGUAGUUUCUUUUUAGAUUGUUGCAUGAAAUCCUCCCGUUGUCAGAUUCAAUAGCAUCAGUCAUCUCUCUGUUCUUGUGAUAGCUGAGCUUUUCAGAAAUAAGAGGGACAAUUCAGAGGUGAUUUCUACCUUUCCAGGAGAGAGGGCUGAAAUAAAGAUUAGCUGUGAAACUAUUGCAAAUUAUGGAUGCUAAGAUAACAGAGUACACCUUCUUUAAGUGGGAAUUAUUUACAAUCUUUCGUGUUAAUAGUUCUUCUUCUUAAUGGUUAAAGACUCUCCAUCCUUUGAAUGAAAAAAUUUUCCUGUUAAAUUAGAAAUCGGGAGAGUUAAUGUGCUAAAUGAUUGAGACAAAAUAGCCAAAAUGCAGAAUUGUGUUCCUCAAACUGCAUCCUAAUCUGACAUUCUUCAAAGGGAUAAAAAUUAAAAGAGAUGAUAAAAUGUCUUUGGUUCAAAAAUAUAACUCCUGUGUCAAAUGUGUUCAAUAAGCCAAAGAGAAUAUGAUAAACUGUGAAGGUUCAUUACUGAUAAAAAAUAAACACAAAAAGGAGGGAAAAAGAAAGGGGAACUCUGGAGUUUAUAAUGACUGAAUGCAGCUUGCUUAGGGAACUAUUGCCACUCAUCUGCCUUGUGAAAAGCACAGUAAAAUUAUGGAUCAUCAAAGUGAUUCCUAACACUUAACAAAAUGAGACCAAAAGUGCCUUUUUUCCCCAGGUUCAGACAUCUGGGAAAACAUUAAUCAAACAUACAGAUUCAGUGGGAGGAAAAAUUUGGAAAACAGGAGUGUUGAAAAAGACUGAGUGGAUAACAUUGGCAGAAAUUAGAUGUGAAUCUGCAAUGCAGCAUCACAGCAAAAGAGCCAUUUUUGCAUUUUAUUUUAUUUUUAUUUUUUUUCAGUCUGCCUAUGAAGAACCAUCAUAUUCCUACUCAGGAAGGAACAAUAAUUCUGUUCUGUUCAAGAAUGGUGACAUGGAAAAUCUUGGUUGAUUCUGCAAGAGGUUCAGUGUUUCCUACUAAAUGCCCUUGGGUCCCUCUGAUGCAGAAGGGAACUGGCCCUUACAGCACAGAGUAUGGGGCUGGACAGCCCCUCACCUUGAUGCUGCAGAGCAGUUGGAAAGGAAAUCAAAGAAAUGCAAUGCUCGUGAUUGCUGAGGGGACUGGCUUACAAGAAAAGAUUAAAACUUGUCUGAUUACAUCUGUGCCUGGUGGGAUGCAGUGAGGAUCUUCCUAGAGAACUAGACAGAAAAAAUAAAAGUUCUGUCAUAUUGGCCACUGCGUAAGAGCUGAUUCCUCAUUUGGGGAAGCGAGUUGGCUCUUGUUUCUGGUGUGUAGAGGCAAUCUCUUGGGCAGAGAUUUCAUCUUGGUUUUCAUCUGAUUUGCUUUAUCUUGAGCAUUUCUUCUUAACCUAAUUUAAAUUGGCGAAUUUUAGAGUCCGGAGGUUUUUUUAAAUGCAUUCAAUUUAUUAUUAUUUCUAGUGAGUAGCAGAUGAUAUCAAACAAUAAACAGUUACAAGUACAAAAUAAGGGAGAAGAGUCACUGUGCAAAUGGGUAUAAGGAAGAGCAAGGGAAUAAUGUUCAAAAGGGGACAGCUGGCUUUGAAUAUCAGCAGAAAUAGCUUCUCUCAGGCCUGCCUACGUGACCUGCUUGGUUUGUACAGGACUGUGACCCCUUCAGCAGUUGCAUAUUCAGUUCUUCACUAUCUAUGUCUUAGUGCACUUGCUUCCACCUCCCCACCCACUCUGAUCUAUUUUUUUGUGCGUAGGCGAUAAGCAUUGUGAUUUUUUGUUCUUUCUUUGGUGUGCUGUGAAUCCUCCUCUCUGCAACUGCAAUUCUGGGACAAAAUUCACACAUAUCCAUUCCGAGAUCUGCUUGUUUGACAAUUUAGUAGUUUUGCAAGCUAUUUCAAAUAAAAAGCUAAGUGAACAGUGAACAGUUAAGAAAGCAGCGAAGUAAAGAAAAACUCCUUCCUCAAAAUCACAUUUUCCCUGGACACUUAAUCACUUAAUCAGAGAAGACUCUUGUAGUCUAUAUGGAGGAUGUUAAAAAAUUCAGAGCUAUAUGAUUUCCCUUCCUUUUUAUUUUCUUUUUGUGUGUAGCAUUUUCUUGUGCAUUUGAUCAAACUUUAGUACAUUAUUUCAUAAGGAGUUCACAGGCUGUUUUGUGAAUGUGCAGAAGUAUUGAAAAAAGACCUUUAAAGUAGGGGAAUACUGCUUUCAUUGUGUAUGAUGUGGAUGUGUUCCCACUGUUAUCCCAUUUUGUUUUAAUAUUAGCCUAUUGGACCAUGAAAAAAUUCAAAGUAUGAGAAAUGUACUUUUCCUUUUAUGUAGCUACCAUUAUGAGCCUCAUAAAAAACAUAUCUCAGAUGACUAAACAAAAUAUUUUUUCAAAACACAAUUAGGAAGAUAUAACUAUUUAGAAGCUAUAACUGCUUCAAGAAACUGUGCAAAAUUACACAGGUUGCAACCACCGUGUUGUUCCAUAUCCAUGGGUAGAAAUGAGGCUGGGUUUCCCAAAGAUCAGUGCACAAAGGCUGUGGGCUGAGCCACCCUGAUCUGUGCUGAAGGACAGGCUGAGCCACCCUGUCCUUCAGCAUGUUUCAGUCUUCCACCAGCACUGCAUUUUCCCAAAGUUCCUGCAUUUUUGAAACCUCAUGUUCUUUGUCAAAUUUGCCUGCAAUGCUACUUGCAUAGUAGCAGUUUGAAGACUGUGGAAAGAGAAGGAGGAAAAACAGACAUGAAGGUGGAAAGAAAAUUUCCUUGUAUGAGCCUCCUUUCCAAAGGAAACCACUGAAGGUAAGAAAGGAUCACAGGGGGCCAUAACAGUGCUACAUUUCAAAAUUAUCAAUUCACAAAGAAAAGAGAAAAAAGGUGCAGCCUUUACUCCUCCUGUUGCCAUGAGCUCUUCUCCUUCUCACCUUGGAUUUACUGUCCAACACAGUUCGUGUCACACUUCUCAAGGACAGGCACAAAGGACACAGAGGCAGCAGCUGUGCUUUGAAAUAACUGUCAGCACACCAGGGGUUAAAGAUGCCCAGAGCCUCCCUGUUCCCUAAGUCUGUGCAUCUCUUAUGCAGAGAAAAUUUUCGCAGCUGCACUGCUAAGUUUUAUCCUGGGAAAAAGCCUUAAAAAUACGUUUCUGCUACAGCAAUUCUGCCCUUUGUAAUUGGGGAAGAAAAAUGCCUAUGAAAUAUGCCAUAGAGCUCUAUGGUGCUGCAUUCUGAAAUGUAUUUCAUUGCAUCCCAUGAAAGCUGGAACUUCAAAACCCAUUGAUUAAAAUGAGACCAUUGCUGUACUCUGCUAAUUAGGAUGUAGUAUUUAACACUAUUCUUAGUUUGAACUGUGCACAGUAAGUACACUUCUAUUAAUAGUUUUUGGGGGGUAGGGAGACAGUGUUUAUCUUUUUUUUUUUUUUUUUAAUUGCAUGAAAAAGCAGGAGCCAGCAGUCACAUUUUAAAACUGCUCUGGUAAGAGAAGGUUUCCUGCUGGGAGAAGCCAAACGAGUGGAAGGAGAAAAUAUAUGUCAGAUGGCAGAAGGGGGGAACAGACCAGUUGAGGGAUGGAUAGCUGAGACACAGUGAGUACUACAUUCUCACAAUCUUUUUUAACCAGUAUUUCUGGGUUUGAUCAGGGAAAAUACUUACCCUUUUGAAUAUUUAGGGGAAAAGGUUAUCAUCAUGCAUGAAACAAAAUAGAGCUGGUGCAAAUCCAUACAAGCACUCAUUUGAUAGUCAGAGUGGGAGCAGGAAAAUUUAAAUGCACACAACAAGCAGCAAGUCUAAGUAGUGUUUUCUCUGCCACAGUCACUGAGGAAAGGUUAAAGCUUCAAACAGCUACAAGUCUCCAGCAGAUACACUGAAAAACAGGUCCUGGAGGUGUGUCAAAAUAUCUAAUAUUUGCUACAACUAAUAGAAGCAUAAGGAAAGUUGAAAGUAAGAAAAGUAAAGGGAAAAAAACAGCCACAAGCCCAGCUCAGUUUCUUGGUACUAACAAGCUGCCUAUGCAAAGUGAUGACAGGUUUUAAACCAGUGGUGUAAAAAGAUUCAUGCUGGGCUCUCACUUGAGUGCAGAAGAGCAGAAAAACCCUACACUGACCCCUCAGCAAAUCAGCCACCUGAAGAGAGAGCCUUGCAGCCACGUUUCCUCACCCAGCAGCCUGAACCUUCACCUUUUCCUCUCGGGGUUGGCUGUCCCACUGCAGGUGGGUGAUGCCCUUGUGCCAAAGCAGUCAUAUUAACAGGAGGUGUCCCCAAGGUGACCCCUGGGUUGUGUUUGCCCCAGCCAAGGGCUCGUCCCAGCCGUUUUCCAGCAUUCCAGAGGGAGCAGCUCCUGGAGGAGAGACACAGGCAGGAGCUGCUUGUGGCCCAGCUGCACCCAAGGAAUAUUAGCAUGCUUUCACUUAAUGCACUCUGAAUCUACCACGGUUCUAAAAGAAGCACAGAAUAUAUUUCCUCUCAGCAGUUGAUGCAUGCUGAGAUUUGUGCUGUGUGAAUGCAGGUCGUCCGAACGCGCAGAAACCAAAAUGGAAUGAAUAUGAAGGGGGUCCCUGCUCCCCUGUGUAAACAAGUUCCUAAUCUUUCUAGCCUCUACCUGAGAAAGGAUUUAGGAUGCUGAUCCUUAAUUUUUUCAGUCUCCUCUGCAUCAUCUGUGGGUGUUUAUCAAAGCACAAGGUUGGUUACAUAAUGUUUCACAUUAUUCUCACAGGCUGUCCAAUGUAUGAAGUCUGUCUUUAAUUGAAGUUUCUAUUUGCAUGCUUCACGACCCUUAAAAUAUUCUUCUUGAAAUGUCAGAUGAGGUUAAUUGAGGACUCUCUUGAUGAUGGUAUUAUUGUAAUUUGAACUUGGAGAAUCCAGUAAUAAUUCUAGGAGGAUUCUGUAAGAUUUAUUUUUCCCCUUUAGGUUUUAUCUUUGUAUUGAGAAUUAGUUUGCAGUUUAAAUUCAAAACAAUUUUCAAUAUAGUGAAAUUCAUCAUGUUCUAAUGAACUCUACAAAUUAUUCUAUCCUGGAAAUAGGAUAAUAACAUUGCAUUUAAAUAUUGCUUUUUGGAUUAUACCACAUAGGAGACUGAAUGAUAUCCUUUUUUGGCUUUAAUGAUUUGAGGAAUUUUUAUUUCCACUUGGCUUUGUGCAAGAAACUAUUUCUCAAAUUUGGCUGAGAUCAGCUGUAAUUACUAUUCUAGGCUGUUGCCUCCCUGUGCCUGGAGUUGUAUAUUACUUUUGGAAAACUGUCUGUAAAAGUAGUUUUUUACCUAACAAUAAUGUUGUUUAGGAAUAGCCUGGUUUUGAUUUUCCUUGCCAUUUGUUUUAGCAGACAGGACAUUCCAUGAGGAAAGACAUUUGGCUCAGUAUAAAAUACUGAGUAACAUGGUAACAACCUCAGUGAAAGGCACCUUUGUCAGAGAACUGAAGCAUCCACUCAGAUCUGUAAAUGCAAAUUUUAUCACUCAGAAGUUAUGGAAACUUUUUUUUUUCCCCCUAAGCAUAUCUUGGCAUCCUUUUUUCUGUUGUCAUAGUAAGCUCAUGUCCUGUUGAAGCAUUUUCACCCUCUGUUGGCAAUAUUUCCCAUGUUCACACAGGAUACAGCUAUACAGAUUCUGUAACACAGGGAAGCAAUGGCACACCAUAUAAAUCUAAAUUCCUUAUCCUAUUUAAAACUGAAACUUACAAUGAUUUCAAAGAGUAUGUGUAACAGCUUUUAUUCCAGAGUUUUGUAAGAUAUUUAAAGCCUGAUACAAAAGACAGUUUAACAAAUGCUUUAAAGAAGUCACCACUAACUUAAUAUCAACGUAUUCACUUCAGAGUUUCAAAAUCUUGUGAUAUAAUUCUCAAUCAAUUGAUUUAUUUUAGAAGGGAAAAUUGAAUAUUUGUUUUCUAGCACAUCAUACUCUGCUUCCAUAGAACUGAAAUGGAAUUUGGAUACAGGUGUGAUAUUCUUUCACUGAGUCAUUAGACAGUGUUUAAAAAUAGGUAUUUCAGGCAAUACUCUACACAGAUUUGUCAUGUCGAUUUCUGUGUCUGAUCCCUUAGAAAGAAAAAGAGACAGACUUUUACCUCCAUAAGGAGUCAAUGGCUGUAUUCUAAGGGUCAUCUGCAGGGGAUUGUUUCAAAACACCAAUUUCAUGCUCAUGUUCAUAUCAGUUCUUGAACCAAUGUUCACAUUCAUAUCAAUUUUAUACAGUAUGGCUUUUCUUUGCUCUGCUGGACUGUUCCACAAACUAUCUUUCUUUGGUUUUUAACUUAAUAUUCUGCCCUUUCAGUUUUACUCCUCUGCACACCUGGAUUUGAGUCAUGCGCUGAGAAGAAAUGAGACAAUACUUUAUUUUAGCAGCAUCCAGAAAGAGCUCUCCUGCUGCCCAGCCAUUCCUGUUGUUUCUGUGCAGAGGGUACUAAUUAUCCAGUAUGUGAAAUUACAAUGGCAGAAUAUAGUGAACAUCUCAAACAGAGAAGUAAUUGCAAUCUCUGUGCUCACCUCUGUUUCACCACACUGGGAAUGGCAAGUUUGGAAUGCUCAGAUCCCCAUGGGCCACAAUCCUGUUGGUAUUAAGUGCAGAUCACUCCGGAACAUGUCUAGCCAGGAGCAAGAGGAGCUGUGGUGAGGGGCAGGUGUCCAUAUGGAUCUCUCUGCUCUUCAUGCAUAUGCAGGGCAUUUCCCCACAGAUUUUCCAGCUGCUUCUUAUCCUUUUCCCUUUAGAUGGGAUCUUACAUUUGCUUUCCUCUGCUGGCCCUCUCCCUAAGGUGUUACAGCACAGGGAGGUGAUUUGUCCACACGUUAUUAGAGCAGACACCACAUACACUAGGAAUUCCCAGUGCAUAAAUAAUGUCCUUGCUAAUUAAUUUAUUUUUGUUUGAGCCUCUCGUCCUGUCCUGUUACUGGCACUUGUGAUUAUUAGAACAGAAAGCCCAAGUCCUUUCCCAGUCCUUUGUCAGAUGGCUGCCUCUUGUGUUAACUAGUGGGCUGCUCUGUACAUCAUCCUUGGAAUGAAAAUUAGCUGCUCUGCAAAAAGGCAACAGCAGAGGAAAGAAUAGAAAUUAUGAAGCUUGAAACUCCACAAAAGUUAAAAUUGAAAAAAAUAUUGCUGUCAUGGUAAGCCUGGAGAUAAACAAAGAAGUCAUACAAAACUCCCAGCAAAGGCAUCCCCUUGUCCUUGGCCAGCCCCUUCCCAGCCAGGCCUGAGCAGUCAGGAGACAAGAUCUUCCCUCUGAGAUGGGCUAUAUAAACAGGACACUGGUAGUGCUUGUCUGAGCACUGAUACCACUGCUAGCCACUGCCACUAUGUGGAUUUCCAGUAGCUACAAGAAAUGCAACUAGAUCUCAUCUGGCAGGUGUUCUAAGCACCACAGCAGAGUUGUGUCCAGGUGAAAAAGACAAAAAUAAAUGUUUAUCAGAGAGUUCUAAUUGCUAGAGAAUAGUCCCCCUGGCUCCUAAUGGAAAGUUACAUUUUGCAGAACAAUCUAUAGAUGGUAUCUCACAGCUGUCACAGUGAAAUUACCCUCAGAGAAGUGAGCCAGGAGUCACGGAAUGUGCGAAUGUCCUGAAUCUGAGUGCCUCAGAGGUGCAGUUACAUCUCAUCUUCAUUAAAAAGUGCAGCAAGGAAAGAUUUCACAUCAUUCUUUAAGCUAACAUGAAAACCACAUCAAUUCUGGACUGUAAUAUUCUUAUUCUACCCAAAGGUAAUUUGUUUUCUGUGCAUAAGUAGAGCUGCUAUUUCCUUUUGUGCAUUCUCAGAAGUGUGUCUUUUGUUUCCUGUUCAGCAUAAACUCUGAGCGAAAGCAAAUAUAUGAGCUUCCUCUGCCUCUGUGAAGUCACUAUGCAGAGUGCCUGACCUACAGUUCAGAAGCCUGAGAAAAAAAUGUUCUCUGUUUUAUAUAUGGGGUUUGGGUUGGGUUUUGGUUUGUUUUUUUUUUGUUGUUGUUGUUGUUGUUGUUUUGUUUUGUUUUUUCUGAACACUGUCUAUGCUGAGAGCUAUGGAAAUAAUCAACAAACUGAAGAGACAAGCAACAAUAGCCACCACAGGGAAGUUCAGAAAAAUCUGACUGAUGAAAACAUUUAAGAAAUAGCCUGGAGAAAAUAUAAGGAAGAUGAUUCAGGGACACUACAAGCAACUACUGCUAGGCUAGAACUCCUGAUUUUUAAUUCCUGCUCAGGCCUGAAUUGGGACUGCUGAACUACUUUGUGCCUCUGGGAAAUCGACACAAUCCUUGCACUUAUCAUUGAGCUGUUGUGGUGACCAGGUACUGCCCAGGAAAUUCUCUGAGUGCAGAAGUGCUAUAUGGGAAGAAAGCAAGCCUGUCUACCAGAUUGUCAGCAAAUGUCUUCAAAAUGGCCAGCGUGAGGCUUCCACCAGGAUUUAUCAACAAAUGAGCCAGAAAAACCCCACGUUAUGGAAACAGAAAAAGGUGUUUCAUGUCCUUGCCAGUGAGAACCUGUGAUGGCAGCCAGCAUGAGCCCAUUCUUCAAGAUUUUGCUGGGUUUGCAUUGUGCCAAUUAUUCCCAGAGAAAUGGAAGAGACCUCACGUUUCCUUUGGCACAAGGAUUUGAGAAAGAAGUCAGCACAAUAGCACUGUCAUCUGUGGCCUUAUUUUUCCUCUUCACAUCAGAUAUCUUAAGAAAUGCAGAAGCAGAGACAAUGCUGUCUCACCCAGCUUUAAUGCUAUUCAUGCUUAUGGUCUGGGAGUUCUCCUCAAAUACACAUGCCUUUUUUUGGCCUUGGCUUCCCCAAAAAGGUGCUGUCUGUAGGUAUUUAAUUUUUAAUUUAUUUUUUGUUAGCAUGCUAAUUCUUGAGAUUUGUGAGUUUUUAGAGAUAUAAGUAAAACAAUUUAUGCCUAAUAUGAUGAAUUGACAUUAAAAAAUGAUUGCAAAUAUG
This is a non-coding RNA of Taeniopygia guttata (zebra finch), 12543 nucleotides long. The record is from RefSeq and is a predicted model, not a curated record. NCBI's taxonomy places the organism in Eukaryota, Metazoa, Chordata, Aves, Passeriformes, Estrildidae.